GCCGGUGUGGUGAAAUGGUAGACGCGUCGGAUUCAAAAUCCGGUUCCGAGAGGAGUGUCAGUUCGAGUCUGACCACCGGCACCA
This 84-nucleotide transfer RNA is filed under the name Alphaproteobacteria bacterium. RNAcentral's name for it is "tRNA-Leu". It matches the Rfam family "tRNA". From Rfam's summary of the family: Transfer RNA (tRNA) molecules are approximately 80 nucleotides in length. Their secondary structure includes four short double-helical elements and three loops (D, anti-codon, and T loops). Further hydrogen bonds mediate the characteristic L-shaped molecular structure. tRNAs have two regions of fundamental functional importance: the anti-codon, which is responsible for specific mRNA codon recognition, and the 3' end, to which the tRNAs corresponding amino acid is attached (by aminoacyl-tRNA synthetases). tRNAs cope with the degeneracy of the genetic code in two manners: having more than one tRNA (with a specific anti-codon) for a particular amino acid; and 'wobble' base-pairing, i.e. permitting non-standard base-pairing at the 3rd anti-codon position. Lineage: Bacteria; Pseudomonadati; Pseudomonadota; Alphaproteobacteria. The record is from RNAcentral.